CUCCUGUGCAAAUGCCGGUUUCAGGAAAUGGAGUUAAAACGAGCGAUUUUUGGCUUCAAAUUUGUACAGCGACUGGAGGCAGAGUCACGUUGUCCGUACAAUGUACAGUCUUUGGUUGUGAUUCUCACUAUAGCAGCAAGAGAAGGUUGGUGGACAAUUAGACUUUGAACAGAUUUUACUAAAAUGGUGACGUUAAGCCAUUAACUGUGGCUGCCUCUGACAUGCAAAUUUGGGAAAUUACAGGGGCACUGCUCCUUAAAUGAGCCGAAAAUUGCAGGAGUAUUGGUGAAAGUGUGAAAAUAGUAGUACUGGCAGACAGGUAGUUCCGCUCUGUAAAGCACCUGAUGUAUUUUACCUCCUCUCUAUUAGGUAUUAUGACUGUACUGCAGCAAAGAAUCAUGUUGCUAUGAGGCACAAGUGCUAAAAAUACAAGUGUAUAAAAAUGCAAUGUCAAACUAAAUGUGUCAUCAAUCUUUCAUCACAAAUAUAAAUCUGACUACAUUCUGAGGCAAUUAUACCUGUGUCAAAAAUGUCCAUUCAAAUUUAUCGAUAAGCACUCUUGGCUGUUUGAGUGGGUUGCUUUUGGCCACUCAAUCGUGGACAUCUUCACACCCACGCCACUUCUUUUUUUUUUUUUGUAUAUUCAGCUAUGCCAGUAUCUCAAUUACUGUGUGAGUGGGCUGGUGCAAAAAAAAAGGGGGGGAAAGUUGGCCAUAGCAACAGUCACCAUCAGCCCACACAGAAUAAUUCUAUGUGAUGAUUUAAAUCUUAUUUAAUUAUGUGUGAGCGAGCAGGUUUGCCAGCCGGGGAUGAAAGGAGCGGUGUGUUCAGAAAUACCUGGAGAAGUGGGAGCUUUUUCCAGCGAGUUGGACGUUUCAACGCGGC
Non-coding RNA from Xyrichtys novacula (pearly razorfish), 885 nucleotides. NCBI's taxonomy places the organism in Eukaryota, Metazoa, Chordata, Actinopteri, Labriformes, Labridae. The record is from the annotation of a GenBank genome assembly.